CCAGGAUGUUCAUGUAUCCUGAGAAAAUGAGAUGGAACAUACAUGAGACAUGAUGUGGCCAUAUUAUAUGUUGAAGAUCCAAGUCUGGAAUCUGUUAUGGGACACAUAAUAAACUGGUGGGAGCCUGAGGAAUUAGGAAGAUGUGGUUAUGACAUUCAGCAUAUGCUGAGGCAAAAGAGACAAGGUUUUUGUCUAGCAGCCAGAGAUUAAACUACUGCUCAGAAUCCAG
Molecule: long non-coding RNA, 229 nt
Filed under: Ricinus communis (castor bean)
Lineage: Eukaryota; Viridiplantae; Streptophyta; Magnoliopsida; Malpighiales; Euphorbiaceae
Description: long non-coding RNA (RCOM_LNC002569)
Source: RNAcentral